CCCCCCUGUCGAGGAUCCCUGGAAUUCUUCAGGGGUAAAGGGUUUUGAGCUUGGAAUUCUUCAGAGGUAAAGUGUUUUGAGUUUGGAAUUCUUCUGGGGUAAAUGGUUUUGAGCUUGGAAUUCUUCAGGGGUAAAGGGUUUUGAGCUUGGAAUUUUGGAAUUCUUCAGGGGUAAAAGGUUUUGAGCUUGGAAUUCUUCAGGGGUAAAGAGUUUUGAGCUUGGAAUUUUGGAAUUCUUCAGGGGUAAAAGGUUUUGAGCUUGGAAUUCUUCAGGGGUAAACAGUUUUGAGCUUGGAAUUCUUCAGGGGUAUGACAAUGAAAAACAUGUAUCCUCGACAGGGGGGUACGGAUAUUAAAUGGAAUAGCCCAUUUUGAACAUACUAUAGAUGACUUUCUUUAUUUAUAGUCUAUAUAUAUAUAUAUAUAUAUAUAUAUA
Molecule: non-coding RNA, 435 nt
Organism: Paramuricea clavata
Lineage: Eukaryota; Metazoa; Cnidaria; Anthozoa; Malacalcyonacea; Plexauridae
Source: the annotation of a GenBank genome assembly